AUGAAGCAGAGCCACAGAUACGCCACAGAUAAGCUUAUGUAAUGAAGUGUAAACAAAAUGAGUCAAGGAGAAGGGACAGAAGACCCAAGUGGAGAAAUUGACAAACUCAAUCCUGGCCUCUCUUCUACUAAAGAUUACAGAUCUUAAGGCAUAGAGUGCAAGAAAGCUUAGAAGUAGAUGAAAAACUAAAGCCUUGGUAUUUGGUUGUAUUGGAGUUUUUACCACAAGAAAAAAAUAGUUUGAUGGUGCUGGUUUAAAGGAUGGUGAUGAAAAAGAAUCAAGCUUAAAUCCUAUUUAAUCAAACUCAAUACGGUUAUGCUAUUAUUGCUUAAAAGUAUUUUUAUAUGUGCCUAAUUCUGUUUAAUGAUGACUUCCUAACUGGUCUUUGCAAGUUCAAAGAUCAAUGAACCUUGAUUUUAUAGACCUUAUUUUAAUAUUAAAUACAUCCCUCUUUAAUGAAUAUCUUGUAUAAUUAUAGGGCUGUAUUUUUCUUAAUUUUGCCUGGUGUUUAAUAAUCUUAUGUGAGGCAUUAGAAAGUAUCUUUUAAAUUAUUUUAUCAUAAAUUUUGUUUUAUUUGUUACCUUUGGAGAGUUAACUCCUAAUCAGGUUAUUUAAAAUCCUAGGGCAGGUCGAAUGUUAGACUUUCCCCCUGUUAAAAUAGAAACUUUAGACAAAUUAAAUUUAACUGUGUUUAAAUAGGCAAAGAAUGAUUAGCAAGUUAGGCAGCCCCUAGAACCAGAAUAGAUAGGGUCAGAGCAAUUCCGGGGCAGCCAUGUGAUUGGAUAACAUUUAUUCAGAGAAAAAGGAAUGUGACAUACAAAAAAAUGGAAAUGAAGUACAGUAACAGCUGGAUUGGCUUACAGUUUGGUGUUUGCCUUAUUUGAAUAUGAUUUGAACAGUUGUAUGCUUGUGAUUGUCCCAAACUUGGCCACUGUAAUUACACAUCCAGUUAGGUUAUAGUUCACUAUGUAUGGAGAAACCUUUAGACUCAACUUAAAAUAUGUAAGGAGGCAACGGUAGGCUAAACUUAACACUUUAAGCAGAUUUAUUUUACAGUAUCAAUUGCCACAAUAGUGCCCUAUGCUUUAAAAGGACUAUUUUUGAAGAUUAAGAAAAUGUCUCUGAAAAAAAAAACUUAAUUUUAGAGAUACAAGUGUUCAAUUAUAAAAGCUUCUGGUUGAAUGUGUGAUAUGAUUUUGCUGCUGCUCACUCUUUGAGUCCUCGCAGCCUUUAUGAGUUGUAACACUCACCGCCAAAGUCUGCAGCUUCACUCCUGAAGCCAGCGAGACCACAAACCCACCAGGAGGGACGAACAACUCCACACGCGCCACCUUUAUGAACUGUAACACUCACCGCAAAGGUCUGCAACUUCACUCCUGAAGCCAGCGAGACCAUGAACCCAAUGGGAGGAACAAACAACUCCAGACGCGCUGCCUUUAAGAGCUGUAACACUCACUGCGAAGGUCUGCGGCUUCACUCCUGAAGUCAGAGAAACCACGAACCCAGCAGAAGGAAGAAAAUCCAGGCACACCAUCUUUAAGAACUGUAGCACUCACCACCAGGGUCUGUGGAUUCAUUCUUGAAGUCAGCGAGACCAAGAACCCACCAAUUCCGGACACAGUUUGUCUGUGUCCCCACCCAAAAUCUCAUCUUGAAUUGUAAUAAUACCUGUGUAUCAAGGACGGGACCAGGUGGAGAUAAUUGAAUCAUGAGGGCGGUUUCCCUCAAACUGUUCUCCUGAUAGUAAGUGAGCUCUCACAAGAUCUGACGGCUUUAUAUGGGGCUUUCCCCUUCACCCAGCUCUCAUUUUCUCUCCUGCCACCCUGUGAAGAGGUGCCUUCUGUCAUGAUUGUAAGUUUCUUGAGGCCUCCCCAGACAUGCUGAACUGUGAGUCAAUUAAAGCUUUUUCCUUUAUAAAUUACCCAGUAUCUCGUACAUCUUUAUAAGCAAUGUGAGAACAGACAAAUACAAUGUGGAUGAAAUAUGUUAUCCAGCCAGUUCCACCCUGGUAUUUCUGCAAUGGCACUUCUAGGCCCCAGGGAAACCAGUCAUAGAUGAUAUAAAAAUUCAGAAAGUUAAUAUUUUUGUUCAAGAGAAACUAAUAGCUUUGCAAGCCAUUCUUUAACAUAGAAUCAGGGAUGCUUCACAUUUAAACUGUUUUUGUUUGUUAAGAAAACUAGAAAUGUUCUUAAUAUGGUUAAUGAUAACCUCUUAUAUUUGUCAAGUAUUUUGUAAAGCAAAGAACAAUUUUACAUCCAUUACUGGGAUUUGUUUCAUAACAUCCAGAUAGAGAAUGGUUGUUUUGUAAUUUACCUGAGGACUAACAGGAGCACAGGUCUUCUGUUUUUUGGUACACUUUACUAUUUUGAUGGAAAGGUAAGUGGUUAUCCCAAGUCCUGCAUCUGGGAAAACACCACAAAUUCUGUUCUCUCAACUGUGAAAUGUGAGUGCAUCUAAAAAGAUUAAAGUACACUUUAUUUUGCUUUAGAAAUUCUGCCAUCUAAUAUCAGGCUGAAGGAUAAAACUCAAUUCAAAUAUUUCAAUUACCUUAGGCCCUUGGCUGACAUAACAGUUGAAAUGUAUUUGCUUUCCAGAAUACCUUCACUACAAAGUCAUCUGUUUGGGUCUGGAAUUCCUUCCAUAAAGUUACAAUUUAGAUGAAGUUUUCUUUGAUUUAUUCAAUCUUGUUCUAUGUAUUUUUUACUCUAACUAGUUAAUGCUUUUUGAAUAUUGCUAUUUAAUUCAUUGGCUGUUUCUACAUAAAACUUACUCUCAAGCAGAAUUUUACAAAUGUAUUAAAAUAUGUAAAAGUAUAAUGAGACUUAGUAUGUUAGCUCUC
Molecule: long non-coding RNA, 2839 nt
Organism: Homo sapiens (human)
Lineage: Eukaryota; Metazoa; Chordata; Mammalia; Primates; Hominidae
Source: Ensembl